RNAcentral lists this ribosomal RNA (336 nucleotides) under uncultured bacterium. RNAcentral's name for it is "bacterial SSU rRNA". It matches the Rfam family "Bacterial small subunit ribosomal RNA", at positions 29 to 351 of the family's 1533-position model. The record is from RNAcentral.
AACGAACGCUGGCGGCGUGGAUUAGGCAUGCAAGUCGAACGGAGUUUCUAGCUUUUUCGGAAACUUAGUGGCGAAAGGGUGAGUAACACGUGGGUUACCUGCCCUAGGGAUUGGGAUAACCUGUCGAAAGACGGGCUAAUACCGAAUACGUUCCCGUGGUUUCGAUCACGGGAGGAAAGAUGGGGAUCCGUAAGGACCUAUCACCCUUGGAUGGGCCCGCGGCCUAUCAGCUAGUUGGUGAGGUAAUGGCUCACCAAGGCUAAGACGGGUAGCUGGUCUGAGAGGAUGGUCAGCCACACUGGGACUGAGACACUGCCCAGACACCUACGGUGGCUG